Molecule: long non-coding RNA, 3132 nt
Organism: Ictalurus furcatus (blue catfish)
Lineage: Eukaryota; Metazoa; Chordata; Actinopteri; Siluriformes; Ictaluridae
Exons: 6
Source: RefSeq, a predicted model, not a curated record
UAACCAGACUUCCAUUGGAAAGUCCGGCAUUUUACAAAAACAUAUACGUAUAUAUAUAUAUAUAUAUAUAUAUAUAUAUAUAUAAAUAAAAAAAUAUCGACCUUUGAAAAAUUCUUUCAUAAAAUGAGCUUCGGUGUGUCUGUGAGAAGAUUCUAUGGUAAUACCUCGCUAUUAAGCUACUCAACAAGUAGAGUGUCUCGAUAUAGCCAAACCCAACAAGGCAGAAGUUCAGUUAGCGAUCGAUGCUAAGUGCAAUUACAGCGUAAUCUUAGCCGUACCGAGUUUUUUCCUAAUAGUUUACCAACACAUCUGAGGUAAACGUUGAUAUUCCUGAGUGUAGCGUUUUCAUUACUUUAUUAGCUAGAUAUUUCAUUAGCUAUUGUCUAUAUUUCGCAGUUGCCUAGCAACAGCGUUCUCACAAAGUGAAUUGAAUUUUUUUACGAUGUGAAUAUCGAGCGUUCUGUUUGUUCGGCUACCGACGUUCACGGAUUCCGUACAAACGUUCCGUUAUCUUUAAAAGUUGUGACACAACUUUGACUAAAAUCGUGACAUAAGUUAGGUUAGCAGUGGAAGCGAAGCGUAAUUACUGUGUACUGUUAACCGUUCUGAGCUUUUUCUUAGUGAUUCGCCAAAACAGCCGAGGGAAAUGUUGACGUUCCGAGGCCUUUCCUAGCCUUUAAUCGGCAUCCAGUUGCCUAGCAACAGUGUUCUCAACAUCUCACAACCAUGUGCAGUCGCAACGUUGACUAAAAUUACACUGUAAUUACGCUUAGCAUCGACCCUUAACCGAACACAGUCAUCGUUUCACCGCAGCGAGAAACCAAGUGUGGAUAGUUUGAUUAGCGCUCGAUGCUAAGUGUAAAUAAAGCGUCGUUUUAUUCCUAUGAAAACUUUUCUUAAGAAUCUACCAACACUCCUGAGGUAAAUGUUGACAUUUCCGAGACCUGCGUGUCAUUUUCAGUCUCUCUAUGCCUUUACAUUGUCCAUAAGAAAGACCGCAUCUUGUUAAUCAGCUUAUACGAGGUGUCCAUAUUUUCCAGUUGCCUAGCAACCGUGUUCUUACAACUUUACAUCACGGGAAAGCAAACACAACGACACGCUUUUGAAUUGUUAUUUUUCGUUAAAAAUGGAGUCGUAGGAAUUCCGCUCACAUUUUAAGAGUUGAACGUUCCCCAUGUUGAGUUCAGCUAGCGGUUGAUGCUAAGUGUAAUUUUGGUCAAACGGAGUCCUUUAUUAGCAAUUCACCAGCACGUCUGAGGGAAAUGUUGCUCUUCUGAACAUUUCUACACCACUUUCACCAUCGAUAUCUUCCCACUGUCUGUAUGAAUGACUACAUAUAAGCUAGAUAAACACGUUCGACUCAGGAAUUAGCUACCUCGUGCUUACGAUGCUUAUGAUACGCAGUUCUGUUGCCGAGCAACGGUGUUCGCGCAGUUUUAACCACUGGAACGGCGAGAAUAUCGUGUGUUUGCCUUCCAAACGUCAAGUGAAAAAUGAAUUCACACCUUAAGAUUUGAAAGCGCUAUAGGCUGGACAUAUUAAAAAAAAAAAAAACUUCUGACAGAAACUUCCAGAGUGUGAUUUUUUUUUUUUUUUUACUUUUGCUCUAAAACAAAUUUGAUGAGUUAUUGUGUAUGACUUGGGAUGAAUGUGAAUUAUAGGUAAUAAGUCAGAUAUGUUCAUGGAUCUACAUUCUUUUCUUUUUUUUUUUUUUUACACGAUCACUGCCAUCUGAGGUCAUCAGUGUGCGCCUCAGACUCCUCCCACUCCCGGGCUCAAAAUUUCCUUCACCAGCCGGCUUCCAGACUGAAACUCCGAGUCUACGCAGCGUUUCAAAGCGGCUGUCCCGAGCCUCCCUGCAUGAGGAACAUGUUAAUGAAUUGGAUGAGGAUGCUGGGAGCUCGCUGGGAGUCUCGCGCCGUGAAGGAUAACCACUUGUAGACGAUCAUGAAGACCAGGUAGCCGAAAAGACAGAGCAGGAAGAGCAGCUCGGGCAGGAAGACCAGGAUCCAGAACUCAACUGCGGCUUUUAAGCGACUUACAGGUGGUUAAAGACGCCCAGGAUGACACCGAAGGACAUGUGAACGAUCCCCAAAAUCACGGACAUCUUCAUCUUAUAGGAGUUCAGGAACGACCAUCCAGAAGGCGAAGAGGAACAUGAUGAGCCCGUGGCCGAGGUCUCCGAACAUCACAGCGAACAGGAAGGGGAAGGUGAUGAUGGUGUACGGAGCUGCGAGAGACGAGUGCAUGAGGAUCAUCGUCAACCCAGAGCUCUAAUUUAACUACUUCAUGACCCAAACCAGUUAAAGCAGCCCACUCCGUAGGCGUCCACUAUAUUCUGAAACCCGGAGGUGAACUUAUUGGUCCGUAUGAGCGUGGGCGGAGUGUCGUUACUGGGAAUGCGAUUGACGAACGAAGGAACCGUUGCACCACUUUUUCUCUGAAAAAGCAAAAACAGGAAACGGAGUCAAGAUGAGUAACACUUCUAUAUAUAUGGAAACACAACGACUACACAACGCAGUACAGAGCCGUGAUGAGGUGAAAAAAUUGCAUGUCAGGAAGUUGGGGUCAGAGCGCAGAGUCAGCCAUGAUACAGCGCCCCCUGGAGCAGAGAGGGUUAAGGGUUAAGGCUCAAGGGCCCAAUAGUGGCAGCCUGGGGCUUGAACCCCUGACCUUCCAAUCAGUCACCCAGAGCCUUAACCGCCAAGCCACCACUGCCCCAUAUGCAUACCCAAUUACCUGGUUAGCUGAGCACAUGAUUUGUAGCUGAAUACUUUUAUCUAGCAAGUUGCCAUACUCUUUAAUUUGCAUAUCAGUUGUGAUUGGUCCAAAGCCGUUGAAAUUAUUUAGUGACACAAAAACAGAUUUUUUUUUCUUCUCAGUUUUGUUGCUUUGUUAACAAAUUUCCCGAAUUCUAUGUAAACCUAAUCAGAAAAUAAAAAUAUUUAAUAAAAUAACAUAAAUGAGAGAAUAUUUAUAGAAUAACACAAUGUUUCUGUCACUGUUGAAAUUUUGAGGCUAAACAUUUUGGUUGUUUUUAAGUCGUACGUAGUCAUCCGCUACAGACAAGUAAUUUACAUAUCCGAUGCGAUUGGUCCAAAGCCGGAAUGCCGCUUCAGACUCACCGAGCCU